This 447-nucleotide ribosomal RNA is filed under the name uncultured bacterium. Its description in RNAcentral is "bacterial SSU rRNA". It matches the Rfam family "Bacterial small subunit ribosomal RNA", at positions 330 to 793 of the family's 1533-position model. The record is from RNAcentral.
GCCAGACUCCUACGGGAGGCAGCAGUGGGGGAUAUUGCACAAUGGGGGAAACCCUGAUGCAGCGACGCCGCGUGAGUGAAGAAGUAUUUCGGUACGUAAAGCUCUAUCAGCAGGGAAGAAUAAUGACGGUACCUGACUAAGAAGCCCCGGCUAACUACGUGCCAGCAGCCGCGGUAAUACGUAGGGGGCAAGCGUUAUCCGGAUUUACUGGGUGUAAAGGGAGCGUAGACGGCAGCGCAAGUCUGGAGUGAAAUGCCGGGGCCCAACCCCGGAACUGCUCUGGAAACUGUGAAGCUGGAGUGCAGGAGAGGUAAGCGGAAUUCCUGGUGUAGCGGUGAAAUGCGUAGAUAUCAGGAGGAACACCGGCGGCGAAGGCGGCUUACUGGACUGUAACUGACGUUGAGGCUCGAAGGCGUGGGGAGCAAACAGGAUUAGAUACCCGCGUAA